This 301-nucleotide ribosomal RNA is filed under the name uncultured bacterium. Its description in RNAcentral is "partial 16S ribosomal RNA". It matches the Rfam family "Bacterial small subunit ribosomal RNA", at positions 509 to 809 of the family's 1533-position model. The record is from RNAcentral.
CAGCAGCCGCGGUAAUACCGAGGGUGCGAGCGUUAAUCGGAUUUACUGGGCGUAAAGCGUGCGUAGGCGGCUUUUUAAGUCGGAUGUGAAAUCCCUGAGCUUAACUUAGGAAUUGCAUUCGAUACUGGGAAGCUAGAGUAUGGGAGAGGAUGGUAGAAUUCCAGGUGUAGCGGUGAAAUGCGUAGAGAUCUGGAGGAAUACCGAUGGCGAAGGCAGCCAUCUGGCCUAAUACUGACGCUGAGGUACGAAAGCAUGGGGAGCAAACAGGAUUAGAUACCCCCGUAGUCCCUGUCUCUUAUAU